This 211-nucleotide ribosomal RNA is filed under the name uncultured Caldilineaceae bacterium. RNAcentral's name for it is "partial 16S ribosomal RNA". It matches the Rfam family "Bacterial small subunit ribosomal RNA", at positions 1174 to 1382 of the family's 1533-position model. Lineage: Bacteria; Bacillati; Chloroflexota; Caldilineae; Caldilineales; Caldilineaceae. The record is from RNAcentral.
GGGGAGUGACGUCAAGUCAGCAUGGCCUCCUUAUGCCCAGGGCUACACACACGCUACAAUGGUCGGUACAAUGGGAUGCCAAGCCGUGAGGCGGAGCAAAUCCUCAAAGCCGGCCUCAGUUCGAAUUGGAGGCUGCAACUCGCCUCCAUGAAGUCGGAGUUGCUAGUAACCGCAGGUCAGCUAUACUGCGGUGAAUACGUUCCCGGGGCUU